RNAcentral lists this ribosomal RNA (305 nucleotides) under uncultured bacterium. Its description in RNAcentral is "bacterial SSU rRNA". It matches the Rfam family "Bacterial small subunit ribosomal RNA", at positions 338 to 662 of the family's 1533-position model. The record is from RNAcentral.
CCUACGGGACAGCAGUGGGGAAUAUUGCACAAUGGGGGAAACCCUGAUGCAGCAACGCCGCGUGAGUGAAGAAGUAUUUCGGUAUGUAAAGCUCUAUCAGCAGGGAAGAAGAUGACGGUACCUGAUUAAGAAGCCCCGACUAACUACGUGCCAGCAGCCGCGGUAAUACGUAGGGGGCAAGCGUUAUCCGGAUUUACUGGGUGUAAAGGGAGCGCAGACGGCAGUGCAAGUCUGGAGUGAAAGCCCGGGGCCCAACCCCUGGACUGCUCUGGAAACUGUCCGGCUGGAGUGCAGGAGAGGUAAGG